CGUCUUUGGUUCCAAUACAAGUCUUCUUGAUCCACAUAUACCUUUACUAUGCUACAGUAAAACUGUGAGAGAUAUUUGCUUUUUUUUUAACCCAACGUCAAAUAUGUUCACGAGUUGGACUACACCAGUGAAAUAUUUAUUCUUUCAACUCUGGAUUUGAACACGGAAACUGCUCCUAGCCAAUGACUCCUAGCUAGUUGAUGUUAGCAUUUAGACGCUCUGACUGUAAACAAUGCAAUGAGGACGGACGAAGGUUCCGGUUGACACGGAAACUAAUAGUGAGGAGCACGAAGUGAAAUAAGUGUUUGGUGCAGUUUCAUUUGGAUGCUCAUACCUGCCCUCCAUGGAAUCCCUCAACACGUUUGAAUCUGAGAUGGAGGCUGAUGGACAGGGGAACUACUCUCUGUUUCCUGCUCUGGACAGCAUUGCAACUCUGUCUGGCACCACUGAAACUCUGGAGAGUGAACCACCCAGCGAAAUAGCAGAGAAACCGAACCUGACGUGGCUCGAUGCUGCGCAGAUUGUUUUGGAGGAAGCGAGAGGUCCCUUGCACAUAAAGGAAAUUAAACAGAGAAUCAUCGACAGGGGACUUGUUCAAUCCAAUGCAAAAUCAAGCUUGGAAGCUGUCAUGUACCGCGAGACACAAAAAGGCAGCAGGAGAUUCAAGAGGAUUGAAAACAGAAAUGGAGUCUUUGCUCUGCUGACUGAUGAGGAGCGGCAACAGGCCCUGCAGGCUUUCACUGCCCAGUCUUUCCUCAGCUCGCCUCAGCAGAAUACCAUCUCUGGUUCUGGGUCAGGAGUCUCAGCACCAACCUUCCCAUCUCCCACUACCUCCUCUGAGCAUAAGGCCAAGGGGAGGAGGGGUCCACGAAAGAACCAGAAUGAAAAGUAUAGGCUCAAGUACCUCCGGCUGCGCAACGCUGCUCGUGCCAUGAUAUUUGAGAAUGCAGCUCUCUGUGAUGAAGUUGCUCACAUAGAAGAAAAGUUUCUGAGAGCAAAGGAGGAGCGGAGGUUCUUACUAAAAUCCUUGUUGCAAUACCAGUCUCUGUCAGAGGGGGAGCUACUGCCCACACCCAGCUCAAGCGCUCAUCUACCUUUACCACCAGUGGCAUUGUCCUCAGGUCCUUCUGGGGCUUCAGGUCUGUCCACUACCCACAGUGUGUCAUCAACAGUGCCAACAGGCGAAGAAGGAGCACUUAAAAAACCCAAAAAGGAAAGGAAAGAGCGGGGGAGGGAGAAUGGAAAGGAUGAACUUCCAAAGAAGAUGUCCAAGAAGAGAAAACUCGCAGAUGGCUCACGGAAGGUGGUGCAGCCCAUCCCUCUCGACUCUUCUGGCCGUCCUGUCUUUCCCAUAGUACUGGGAGGUUUGACAGUCUACAGUCUGGGCGAGAUCAUCACAGACAGAAUGCUGUUUCAUGACGAGUGUGCCAUCUACCCAGUGGGCUUCUGCAGCACGCGCAUCUUUGCCAGCAUGAAAAACCCCGAGCAGCAGUGCCUCUACACCUGCCAAAUCAAGGACGGGGGAACAGGCCCACAGUUUGAGAUCGUGCCUGAAGAGGACCCUCAGAAUGCGAUCGUGGCUUCCUCCGCCUUGACGUGCCAUGCCAAUCUACUGAAGGCCAUCGCGUCUGUGAGUGCCAAGUCCGUGGUGUCGAUUGUUCCAUCAGGAGCAGAUUUCUUUGGCUUCUCUCAUCCCACCAUCCAGAAUCUCAUCCAGAGUUGUCCCGGAGCUCGCAAGUGUAGCAACUACAGAUGGAUUCGUUUUGAGGUGUGUCGCCCCGGCGAUGGCCAGGUCCCUCACAGCCUAUCAGAGGAUGACGCCUCAAUCAACUUUGAAGCGUUCCAGAGGCACCACAGCUUUGAGAACAUCAAGACAGAGCAUAUCACAGGACAGACACCACAGUCUCCUAGUUCAUCUCAUCAGCAUCACCUGACCUCCCCCACCAUGAAGGCUUCGACCUCAUAUUUCAGCUCCUGAUGCUCUGUGCUGGAGCAUCUCUGAAAUCAAGGCCAUACCUGAGCUUAGUUGUUGUAAAUAUUCCUUGUAAAUUACAAGAUGGAGCAUAUUUUUUUUUUCCCUCCACCAGGGGGCCUGGGCUUUCUUUCCAAUGUGGCUUUUUGUUAGUUAGGCUCUGUUUAAACUUCAAUAAAAGUGGGUGUAGUCAUUUUGAUUCAAUUAAUUGAUUAUGUUUUGCCAAAUGGUAAAUGGCCUGGAUUUGUAUAGCACUUUACUUAGUCCCUAAGGACCCCAAAGCGCUUUACACAUUCAGUCAUUCACCCAUUCAGUCAUUCACCCAUUCACACACACAUUCACACACUGGUGAUGGCAAGCUACAUUGUAGCCACAGCCGCCCUCGGGCGCACUGACAGAGGCGAGGCUGCUGGACACUGGUGCCACCGGGCCCUCUGACCACCACCAGUAGGCAACGGGUGAAGUGUCUUGCCCAAGGACACAACGACCGAGACUGUCCGAGCCGGGCUCGGACCGGCAACCUUCCUACAAGACGAACUGCCAACUCUUGAGCCACGAUCGGCCCCAAAUAAAAAAAAACCCCCCUUUAUAGGUAGUGUGCCUACCUUUAUGUGUUACUUUAUGACUUUAUGUAUUUGUAGGUAAAUAUACUUUGUUCCAUCCAUCCAUCCAUCUUCAUCCGCUUUAUCCGGGGCCGGGUCGCGGGGGCAGCAGCCUAAGCAGAGAAGCCCAGACCUCCCUCUCCCCAGCCACCUCCUCCAGCUUAUCCGGGGGAACACCAAGGCGUUCCCAGGCCAGCCGAGAGAUAUAAUCUCUCCAGCGUGUCCUGGGUCUGCCCCGGGGCCUCCUCCCGGUGGGACAUGCCCGGAACACCUCACCCAGGAGGCGCCCAGGAGGCAUCCUUGUCAGAUGCCCGAACCAUCUCAACUGACUCCUUUCAAUGUGGAGGAGCAGCGGCUCUACUCUGAGCCCCUCCCGGAUGGCCGAACUUCUCACCCUAUCUCUAAGGGAGAGGCCAGCCACCCUUCGGAGGAAGCUCAUUUCUGCCGCUUGUAUCCGCGAUCUCGUUCUUUCGGUCACUACCCACAGCUCGUGGCCAUAGGUGAGGGUAGGGACGUAGAUCAACCGGUAAAUUGAGAGCUUCGCUUUUACACUCAGCUCCCUCUUCACCACGACGACUUUGUUGUAAUUGAAAAAUACAUUGAAAUUUUGUUUUAAUACAGUGGAAUUUUAUCUUUCUUUUAAUCUUCUAAAGUAAAUGUGAGUCUUACAGCAGGUUUUAAACUUAAACUCUAAACAUAUCCACCUCUAGUGUGCAACACAAGUUACCAUGGUGAUCAAGCCAAAAUAUGAGAGCCUGUUUUGUGACAUUGAAAAAUCUGACUUGCAGAUCAGGUCGGGUUAAUCUUCCUUCAAAAUACACCCCUUGGCUUUCUACUGUAUGUGAAAAAUAGCUGUGCUUUAUUUUGAAGCCUGAGCUCCAGCAGUUGUUUCAGUUUUAUUGCUAUAACGUUACUUACUAAUUGCAAGUUGCACAGAAAACCAUGUGAAAAUAGUUGCUAUGCUUUUCCAUGUAUGGGAUACAUAUUGCCCAGGUAUUUAACUGGUACAUUACAGAUAAGUUUUUUUUCCAGUUUGUGCUCGCAUUUAGCAAAACAUGUUUCUGUAUUUUGUUCUUGUUUUCAGGAAAAGUGUUGGAUUUGAACACAACACAUCAGACUCCCUUAGUUGUCAUUUAUUUGUGUAGAUUUUGAGUCAAAAUGACUUGUGUUGUAAAUUUAAAUUUACAGUGUGUUAAAAUAAACAUUUGCCAUCCUU
Molecule: RNA transcript, 3790 nt
Organism: Pelmatolapia mariae (spotted tilapia)
Lineage: Eukaryota; Metazoa; Chordata; Actinopteri; Cichliformes; Cichlidae
Gene: fyrd1
Gene name: transforming growth factor beta regulator 1
Exons: 16
Source: RefSeq, a predicted model, not a curated record